UGGGUUCUGGGUCAUACAAGGGUACAAACUACAUUCCACAUGUGAGUCCUUUAAGACAAUUGCCAGGUUAAGCAUUUUACCCAAGAUGUCUUCAGGUCUCUGUUAUUACAGCUGCGGAAACAUCUUAACAUUAUCUGGAAACUUCUUUAAUGGAAAAACACAUCUUGCAGAAAUACAAAAACACAGCAGAUAUAAUCAGUAAAUAAAUGGUAAAAAGUAUCAUCAGUUCCAUCAAAGACGAAAUAAGGCUAAAAACGAAAUUUUCCAUUACAGCAUCAUAAUUGUUGCAUAGUCAUUUGCUGUGCUCUCCUAAUACAGCCAAAACAAAGUUUGCUAUAAAAUAAUUCCUCAACAAUACAGCUUAUUCAUUCAGUCUGUGGAUAAAUAUACAAAUUUCUGUAUUUGGUAUGUUGCUUUUACUCUGUUCAAUAAAACAGAGGAUGCAAACAUUUCGCAAACAAUUUUUUCAGUUUCAGAUUUAUUUUUAGGGAGACACUGUUGUUUAAGACAAAUUCUUGCUCUCUCCUAUUUGGAGUCAGGGCAAAGUAUAAUGUUGUUAAUGGUGAUUAAUUCGAACCUCACUCAACAUGCUUUCUUAACAAGCAGAUAUGCCAGAAUCAUUAUGGUCAGUCCUCUGACGAGCAGAAACCAGGUCUGGUGAAAAGUCCUCAGCUCAGCGGACCUUAGCAGACACCUUGUAGGGAUGAGGCACUCGUGUCGUUCCAGUGAUUCCCUCAGUGCUCAGCUCAACUCCGUCAGGAACAGAGAAAGUAAACUUCUGCAGUAA
Molecule: long non-coding RNA, 787 nt
Organism: Poecilia latipinna (sailfin molly)
Lineage: Eukaryota; Metazoa; Chordata; Actinopteri; Cyprinodontiformes; Poeciliidae
Exons: 2
Source: RefSeq, a predicted model, not a curated record